Trifolium pratense (red clover) is the source of this 991-nucleotide RNA transcript. RefSeq lists it as uncharacterized. NCBI's taxonomy places the organism in Eukaryota, Viridiplantae, Streptophyta, Magnoliopsida, Fabales, Fabaceae. The transcript has 7 exons. The record is from RefSeq and is a predicted model, not a curated record.
ACCCUUCUUCACUGCAAAUUUGAAACCCUAACUUUCUGGAAGGUAUCAUUUUCCUUUUGAUUGCAAACACUACUCAUUCAUAUUGUAGUAAAAGCUAAACGGCGCUGGUUAAGUAUGGAGGAGCCUCUUGACGAGGCGGAGAACACACCAUUCAAGCUUCAACUAGGAGGUGAGGUGUCUAUCAAGGAACUGUUGAGGCCCAGUGAUACGUUUGUGGAGCAACAUUGGGGCAUGGGUGGAAUUGGAAAUAAAAGUAGUGAAAACUAUGAGGGGUGGGCUGUUGAUAUAAAUGAAUAUGCUUGUGAAAGUUUGAAGCUAAAUCACCCUGAAACACAGGUGAGAAAUGAGUCUGCACAAAACUUUUUAAGUCUAAUAAAAGAGUGGGCAAAACUUUGCGAGGAGUUUGUAUUUAAACCGCCAGAAAGUGCAGAAUCUGAUGAAGAAGCUGAUGAUGAAGAGUCAGAAAAUCAGUCUGUCUUUGAGGAGUUUUAGGUGGAAAGGUUUAUUUCUGUUUGCUAUGGCGAUCCCAAUGAAGCAAAGACACCAGGACUGUACUUUAAAGUGCAAUGGAAGAGCUAUGGUUCUAGUUAUGAUACAUGGGAGCCAAUAGAGGGAGUAAGAGGUAGGCUGUUGAUAUAAAUGAAUAUGCUUGUGAAAGUUUGAAGCUAAAUCACCGUGAAACACAUGUGAGAAAUGAGACUGCAGAAAACUUUUUAAGUCUAAUAAAAGAGUGUGCAAAGCUUUGCGAGGAGUUUGUAUUUAAACCGCCAGAAAGUGAAAAAUCUGAUGAAGAAGCUGAUGAUGAAGAGCCAGAAAAUCAGUCCGACUCUGAGGAGUUUGAGGGUUGUGAUUAGCUGCAUUUUUACAUUUAUGCCUUAUUGUAAUGAGUCAAACAAGUAUAUAGAAAUUAUAAUUUGUACAUUUUUUUAAAAGAUGACACAUUAACAAUGGUGGCUUUUAUGAGGGAAAUAGAUUUUACUUCACAGUUGAA